GAUGAACGCUGGCGGCGUGCCUAAUACAUGCAAGUCGAGCGAACAGACGAGGAGCUUGCUCCUUUGACGUUAGCGGCGGACGGGUGAGUAACACGUAGGUAACCUACCUAUAAGACUGGGAUAACUUCGGGAAACCGGUGCUAAUACCGGAUAAUAUUUCGAACCGCAUGGUUCGAUAGUGAAAGAUGGCUUUGCUAUCACUUAUAGAUGGACCUGCGCCGUAUUAGCUAGUUGGUAAGGUAACGGCUUACCAAGGCAACGAUACGUAGCCGACCUGAGAGGGUGAUCGGCCACACUGGAACUGAGACACGGUCCAGACUCCUACGGGAGGCGGCAGUAGGGAAUCUUCCGCAAUGGGCGAAAGCCUGACGGAGCAACGCCGCGUGAGUGAUGAAGGUCUUCGGAUCGUAAAACUCUGUUAUUAGGGAAGAACAAACGUGUAAGUAACUGUGCACGUCUUGACGGUACCUAAUCAGAAAGCCACGGCUAACUACGUG
This 497-nucleotide ribosomal RNA is filed under the name uncultured bacterium. Its description in RNAcentral is "partial 16S ribosomal RNA". It matches the Rfam family "Bacterial small subunit ribosomal RNA", at positions 28 to 507 of the family's 1533-position model. The record is from RNAcentral.